Molecule: long non-coding RNA, 115 nt
Organism: Octopus sinensis (East Asian common octopus)
Lineage: Eukaryota; Metazoa; Mollusca; Cephalopoda; Octopoda; Octopodidae
Exons: 3
Source: RefSeq, a predicted model, not a curated record
UCUACUGCAGCCUAAAGCAGAAACAGCCAUAAGCUAAUGAAGCUCAUAAGAUAAUUGUUUACUCCUUUGUCAUAUCAUAUUCUCAUAUAUAUAUAUAUAAUGAUCAUCUUCAUCA